This 256-nucleotide ribosomal RNA is filed under the name uncultured bacterium. RNAcentral describes it as "partial 16S ribosomal RNA". It matches the Rfam family "Bacterial small subunit ribosomal RNA", at positions 524 to 776 of the family's 1533-position model. The record is from RNAcentral.
UACAGAGGGGGCAAGCGUUUAUUCGGAAUUAUUGGGCGUAAAGGGCGCGUAGGCGGCCUUUCAAGUGACGGGUGAAAGCCCUCGGCUUAACCGAGGAACUGCCUGUCAGACUGGAAGGCUUGAGACCGGGAGAGGUGAGUGGAAAUUCCCAGUGUAGCGAUGAAAAUGCGUAGAUAUUGGGAGGAACACCAGUGGCGAAGGCGAGUCCCUGGACAACACCUGACACUGAGGCACGAAAGCUAGGGGGGCAAACAGG